This 170-nucleotide small RNA is filed under the name Chelonoidis abingdonii (Abingdon island giant tortoise). Its description in RNAcentral is "TUC338 (ENSCABG00000015895.1)". The record is from RNAcentral. Lineage: Eukaryota; Metazoa; Chordata; Testudines; Testudinidae.
GUGACACUCCUGGAGACUGAACUACUCUAGCCACAAAACAGGUGCAGCACAGGCAGCAGUAAUGCAAGCAUCCCACAUACUGCCCUAUGACUCAGCCCUGGACUGCAGGCACUGUCCAUAGGAUUGAGAAGGGAAUUCAGUCUCCCUGAUCCAUACAGUCAGUGACUUUU